This 107-nucleotide small RNA is filed under the name Marmota monax (woodchuck). Lineage: Eukaryota; Metazoa; Chordata; Mammalia; Rodentia; Sciuridae. The record is from RNAcentral.
GCUGGGUGAGGUGGUGCACACCUGUCACCCUAGUGACUCAGGAGGCUGAGGCAGGAGGAUUGCAAGUUCAAGGCCAACCUGGACAAUUUAGUGAAACCCUGUCUCAA